Molecule: ribosomal RNA, 714 nt
Filed under: uncultured eukaryote
Lineage: Eukaryota
Description: SSU rRNA
Rfam family: Eukaryotic small subunit ribosomal RNA
Source: RNAcentral
ACUGCGAAUGGCUCAUUAAAUCAGUUAUCGUUUAUUUGAUAGUACCUUACUACUUGGAUAACCGUGGUAAUUCUAGAGCUAAUACAUGCUUAAAAUCCCGACUGUUUGGAAGGGAUGUAUUUAUUAGAUAAAAAAUCAAUGCCUUCGGGCUCUUUGAUGAUUCAUAAUAACUUUUCGAAUCGCAUGGCCUUGUGCUGGCGAUGGUUCAUUCAAAUUUCUGCCCUAUCAACUUUCGAUGGUAGGAUAGUGGCCUACCAUGGUUUCAACGGGUAACGGGGAAUAAGGGUUCGAUUCCGGAGAGGGAGCCUGAGAAACGGCUACCACAUCCAAGGAAGGCAGCAGGCGCGCAAAUUACCCAAUCCCGACACGGGGAGGUAGUGACAAUAAAUAACGAUACAGGGCCCUUUCGGGUCUUGUAAUUGGAAUGAGUACAAUGUAAAUACCUUAACGAGGAACAAUUGGAGGGCAAGUCUGGUGCCAGCAGCCGCGGUAAUUCCAGCUCCAAAAGCGUAUAUAAAAGUUGUUGCAGUUUAAAAGCUCGUANUUGAACCUUGGGGCUUGGCUGGCCGGUCCAUCUUUUUUGAUGCGUACUGGACCCAGCCGAGCCUUUCCUUCUGGCUAGCCUUUUUGGCGAACCAGGACUUUUACUUUGAAAAAAUUAAAGUGUCAAAAGCAGGGCUUUGCUCGAAUAUAUUANCAUGGAAUAAUAGAAUA